AGCAGUAGCCGCGGUAAUACGAGGGGGGCAAGCGUUGUUCGGAAUUAUUGGGCGUAAAGGGUGCGUAGGCGGUUUGGCAAGUUUGGUGUGAAAUCUUCGGGCUCAACUCGAAGUCUGCAUCGAAAACUGCCGGGCUUGAGUAUGGGAGAGGUGAGUGGAAUUUCCGGUGUAGCGGUGAAAUGCGUAGAUAUCGGAAGGAACACCUGUGGCGAAAGCGGCUCACUGGACCAUAACUGACGCUGAUGCACGAAAGCUAGGGGAGCAAACAGGAUUAGAUACCCGAGUAGUCCCUGUCUCUUAUAC
RNAcentral lists this ribosomal RNA (303 nucleotides) under uncultured bacterium. RNAcentral's name for it is "partial 16S ribosomal RNA". It matches the Rfam family "Bacterial small subunit ribosomal RNA", at positions 507 to 807 of the family's 1533-position model. The record is from RNAcentral.